This 975-nucleotide long non-coding RNA is filed under the name Gallus gallus (chicken). Its description in RNAcentral is "lncRNA (ENSGALG00010014996.1)". Lineage: Eukaryota; Metazoa; Chordata; Aves; Galliformes; Phasianidae. The record is from RNAcentral.
GAAAAGAAAAGAAAAGAAAAAAGAAAAGAAAAGAAAAGGAAUGUAAAUGCCUUGCUGCAAGAAGCAAAGUAAAAUGAUGCAGCUGGCGCAGCCGAGGAAAUUGGACCAACACAUUGCUGAUAGUAAGGCAUCAAUAAAACACUCUAUGAUGAAUUACGGUAAGAAGUUCAUAGUUCAGUAAGAUGAUCCCUUGUUCCCUGUGCAAAUUAGAUUUACUGGAAUCUUUUGUUUCUUGCUUGCUGAUUUCUGUAAAAUUAUAUGAAGUGAUGGGAUUAGCUAAGAAGCAGUGUUCUCCUUGUGCUUCCCCUGAAAUAUGUGUAGGAUGCUUCCCUCCAAGGACCGGGAUGCUGCUUGCUUGACUUAACAACACUGGCAGCUUCCAAAUUUUGGUUAAAAGCCCCCUUGACAAGAUCCAAUAUUUAACUCUCUGUGCCCAUUCUUAAAGACCACUGAAAAUAUUAUAUGGUCCUUGUAGGAUGCCUUCUGCAAAUGUAACCAGAAAGAUAUAUACACAAAUUUUAAUGCCAAAUUUAUCCUUCUUUUGGAUAAACAGGAGAGGGCUUCUGGGAACUUCAACAGAGAUAACUUUUUUUUUUUUCUAUUAUUAACUCACUAUGAGGUCAUGCAUAUGGCAAAAAGUGAGUGAGUACCAGUGGCUGUGUGUUGAUUUACCAUCGGCAUCAGAGCUUACACCAUCCAACCUGGAAACCCAACUGUGUGCUCCAUCCAUCACCAACCCAGAGCCAGCCCCCACUGCAUCCCCAGUAGCCCUGCAGGCAGCAGCAGGCAGCAUCCACCAGGAGUUAGGUGCUGCUGGAGCAAGCCCAGAGGUGUGCAGACCUUCAAAGACUGUGGGUAUGCCUAACUGUAUUCAUGUUAGGUGCCCUUUGACUUCAGCCACAACAGAGGUGAUCCCAUCGCAAGUGAAGGAAACUUCCACAAGGAUAGCUAUGUUAAAAAAAAUAAAUAAAUUAG